Molecule: ribosomal RNA, 31 nt
Filed under: Alternaria sp.
Lineage: Eukaryota; Fungi; Ascomycota; Dothideomycetes; Pleosporales; Pleosporaceae
Description: partial 28S ribosomal RNA
Source: RNAcentral
UUUUGAGCUCGGAUCAGGUCGGGAUUCCCGC